Long non-coding RNA from Entelurus aequoreus (snake pipefish), 2553 nucleotides. RefSeq lists it as uncharacterized. The record is from RefSeq and is a predicted model, not a curated record. The transcript is spliced from 2 exons. Lineage: Eukaryota; Metazoa; Chordata; Actinopteri; Syngnathiformes; Syngnathidae.
AUUAAUAAUACACUAUGAUCCAUAGCUGACACAAUAUUUGUUUUUAUCUUUUUAUUUUUCAUUAAAAAAACAUAAUUGCCCCCUGCAUACUUUGACUUGGUGGAAAAAGUUUGGACACCGCUGACGUAAGGUAUCAAAAGUAUUUAUUUGGGGAUCGAUAUUAGAGCAUACAUAUCUGGCAUUGGCGGUAUCGAUAUCCCAGUAUCGAUCCGCACGUCACUAGUAUCUAACCCUGUUGGUCGACUUAGGGAUCUGACAUCAUGUCGUCGUUACCAUAUUAGGCUUGUUUUUAAAUGUUUUAAUAUGCUUUAUUUCAGUUAGCUGACUGUGUAAAACGUAUGAAUAUAUGUUCCUUUACAAUGAAAAAAGACGCCAUAGGGAAUGGCGUUUGGACCAGAGAAUGACGUAUGCGUUAUGUUGUCACGACGGCUGGAGACAAAAAGUGUGGCUUCUUGCUCAGAAUUGGCUUUUAAUUUGGUGUUGUUAAUACUUCGGCCAUUUGUUUGAGUUCCACGUCGUGUUUUUUUGUACUGGAAAAGAGCAGCUGUAUCUGCUAACCCCCCCCCCCACCCCCCACACACACACACACACCGCACUGGUAAUUUUCCACUGGGAUGUUCCGGUUCCUUCUCGAACGUUCUAGAAAUAUAUGUGUUCCUUUACUUGUAUUGUUGACUGGGCAUGACGUCAUAAAGUACACUGUUACAUACAACGCCACAAGUAUGGAAUGUGCUAUACAGAACGUCUGAAUAUUGAAGCAUGGUUUCAUCGUGUUGAGAAGGUGAAGACCUGGCUGUUUUCUGACAUGUUAUUCAUGAUACCAACAUUAGAAGGUGAAGACCUGGCUGUUUUCCGAACAUUUAUUUCGCCGACAAAGGCGUUAUCACUGCAGCAAAGUGAAAAAGUAGAUCCGACCAACAUUCUGGUUUUAUCCGGUUUUGGAGGUUUGAACUGCAGUCACUGGGAGAUUCAUGCACGCAGCCGUUGAGCAUGACGUCGGCUGUUUUGUUUCAAACUGAGAGAGGAACGUCGUCUUUCUUAACACAAUCUGACGUCUAAUUUUGUACUCCAUUUCGAAAUAUACGUAUUUAUUUUGCUCUUCAAACUAUCAGUUGCGUAUUGGCCACAAUCUCUGAUCGGAAACGUGGUACUAUUUUUGUUGUCGGACGGAUACGUAAUUUACCCUUGACGUACUCACACAGGGUAUAAGUAGGACCAGUGGCCGUCCUCCCUCACAUUUCUUCUUCUAUUCGUCGUCGUCUCGUUUGAGCCUCAGGUGAAAUUGUCUUUUUUGUGUAACUUUUUUUAUCCUAUUUGAAUUUUUUAUCGUUUAGAAUGCUUAUAACGAAGUUAUUUAUGUCUUUGUGGCACGAAAGUAGACUUAGACUUCCUUUUAUUGUCAUUCAAAUGUGAACAGUACAGAUAAGGACCCAGAUUAUCGACUACUCGAAUUGUAUGAGGCGACGUUUUCUUUUUCAUCAAGUUUUUAUUUAUUUUUUUAAAUAAGCUGUCACAUUGGUUGAAGCUUAAUCGAGAAAUCUUUGAUUCGAUACUUUUGUUUUAAUGGUCAAUGUUUUCGACGGUGAUAUUGUCAUUAUUACAAUUGUUUGAUACGUUUGCUUUUUUAAGGCAAUAUGGUAUUUUCAGUUAACUGUCACGUGGUCUUAAAAGGCGUUUACGUCUGCAUUUAAAAAAAGCUCAAGAUGGCCGCCGUGACGUAGUAGCCUUACCCAGCUGCUAUUGGUUGAUUUAAACCACCAGGACUCUUCCCCUUCUGUCUGCUGGCUUGCAGAUUUUUUUAAAGUCACCCCAGAAUGGCCAAGGUCAGUUACUUUUGUAAAUUUUAAACCCCCAGUUUUAAGACCUUGCGCUAAAAUGUUAAACCAACUCAAAGCGAUCAAAAUGUUUUGUUGUACCUGGCCAGCAACCGUUAUUUGUGACUUUGAAGAUGCCAAGUUAGACCCCAUUGUUUUGUUCUUUGUUGCAACGGUUUUUACUUGUAAACAAAAAAAUUUCAUUUGUACUUUGUUAGCAAAACUUUUAUUGCUACAUAGCUGACUGUAAUGUCAUACUAUUUAAACAGGAGUGAGCAGCCGUUUUAAUGGCCAAGACUUGCCAGCCAUUAUUUGGAUGACUCAAUUGGCAAUUUAUGGCUUUGACCAAAAAAAAGUCAGCCAAGACUUAAAAAAAAAAAAAAAAAAAGGCAAUUUAUGGCUUUGACCAAAAAAAGUCAGCCAAGACUUAAAAAAUAAAAAUUAAAAAAAGCCAGCCAUUUGGUUGACUCAAUUGGCAAUGUAUGGCUUCAACCAAAAAAGUCAGCCAAGACUUAAAAAAAUAAUAAUAAUUUUGAAAAAAAUUGCCAAUUUAUGGCUUUGAUCCAAAAAAAAAGUCAGCCUGGACUAAAAAAAAAGGCAAUUUAUUGCUUUGACUAAAAAAAAAAGCAAAAUAUGGCUUUGACCAAAAAAAGUCAGCCCAGACUAAAAAAAAAAAAAGGCAAUUUAUGGCUUUGACUUAAAAAAAAAAAAAAAAAAUUGCCAGCCAUUAUUUGGUUGA